This is a long non-coding RNA of Odocoileus virginianus texanus, 564 nucleotides long. RefSeq lists it as uncharacterized. NCBI's taxonomy places the organism in Eukaryota, Metazoa, Chordata, Mammalia, Artiodactyla, Cervidae. The record is from RefSeq and is a predicted model, not a curated record.
CAGGAAUUCUCCCCUUGUUGGUCUGUCUCCUGGGCCCCAUCGAGACAGCUGGACUUCCCACACAAGUGAAAAUAUUCAAGUGCCCGUUCCCAGGUUGGCACGACAUGGUAUUUACUCAGUCAGGUCUUUGAAAUUCACUGCAGAGAUAUGAGUCUCCUGCAUGAUCCUGCCACCAGCUUUUGUGAAGAUGAAUGAACCAAUUCCUUAUACUGAAGGAGAGAAAUUUUCACUGGAUUUGAGGAGCCAUAAGCCUUAACCAGCUUCAGAAGUCCUCUGGCACAGACGAUGCCAUCAUGAAGGCAGGAAGAGUUCCUCCUAUCUCUGCAGAAGACCUGGCCACAGCAAAUGAGAUUGAUCGUGGGUUUCAAGGAUUGGAGGGGUAGGAGAAAGAUUUAGAGAAGAGGAAAGAGUAAUUUUUCCCUGGAGAUGUAGGACAAUGGUGUUCUUUGCUGAGAAAGAUGAGAAAGCAAUUUCCCCAAAGGUUCAGAAAACAGGGUUGUUUCACUCAUUGUUGGGUAUUCAGUAUAGACCUGUGAGUGCUGGAAAAAUAAGCUAGGUGACCCC